UUCACCUCGGUAAUUUUAUAUGUAGUAAGUUGUGUUUGUUAUCCGUAUGUAAGACAUACUUCCGAGGAUUUAGGGUUAUAAAUCAAUCAUUGAUCCUGAAGUGGUUCCAGAGAUGAGGAUAUCUUCCAAGGAUCAUUGUAACUUUCGGAAUCUUUGAGGUAACGGUUAAAAAGAUCAGAGGAGAUCGGCUGAUUGUCCCAAGAUCUGCACCAACCAAUCUGCAGUGAAGACAGUCCCACGGUACAGACAGUACAGGGUGCAAGGAGGGGUUGCCCGGCAUCAGUCCAAUUACCAGAGCACUAAAUCUACCCCGGAUGAAGCACUAGUGUCUUGGGUCUCAUAAACGUAACAUCUCAGGCGCAACUCUAAUUAAAAACUACCCUGUAGAGAGGGCCGGACAGGUAUUGGUUGUGCGGGGGGGGGGGGGGGUCAGAUGGUCUGCCUGGGAAUUGUACCGGGAUAGGAGUGAAGUUAUUUGACGCCCGCUUCGGUCUGAGGAUGCUUUCGUUGUCAAUAUAACGUUUAAAGUUUAUAUAAUCAAUUACUACGAUGUUGACCUCAUGGUUUCAUGUGUAUGCUGUGUCUGUAAGUUUAUUAUUCGAGGAGAAAACUAUUCUACGAUACCAUUACUUAAUGUUUUUAAUUAUUAUAGUUAUAUAUCUAUGUACGUAAAAAUUAUCAACUACUUUUACUCUA
Long non-coding RNA from Homalodisca vitripennis (glassy-winged sharpshooter), 696 nucleotides. RefSeq lists it as uncharacterized. The record is from RefSeq and is a predicted model, not a curated record. Lineage: Eukaryota; Metazoa; Arthropoda; Insecta; Hemiptera; Cicadellidae. The transcript has 2 exons.